This 253-nucleotide ribosomal RNA is filed under the name uncultured bacterium. RNAcentral's name for it is "partial 16S ribosomal RNA". It matches the Rfam family "Bacterial small subunit ribosomal RNA", at positions 524 to 776 of the family's 1533-position model. The record is from RNAcentral.
UACGGAGGGAGCUAGCGUUGUUCGGAAUUACUGGGCGUAAAGCGCGCGUAGGCGGCUUUGUAAGUUAGAUGUGAAAGCCCGGAGCUCAACUCCGGAACUGCCUUUAAAACUGCAUCGCUUGAAUCCAGGAGAGGUGAGUGGAAUUCCGAGUGUAGAGGUGAAAUUCGUAGAUAUUCGGAAGAACACCAGUGGCGAAGGCGGCUCACUGGACUGGUAUUGACGCUGAGGUGCGAAAGCGUGGGGAGCAAACAGG